UUGGAGGGCAAGUCUGGUGCCAGCAGCCGCGGUAAUUCCGGCUCCAAUAGCGUAUAUUAAAGUUGUUGCAGUUAAAAAGCUCGUAGUUGAAUUUCGGGGUCAGUAGGUUGGUCAUGCCACCGGUAUGUACUGGUCUCACUGAUUCCUCCUUCCUGAUGAACUGUAAUGCCAUUAAUUUGGUGUUGCAGGGAAUCUGGACUGUUACUUUGAAAAAAUUAGAGUGUUUAAAGCAGGCUAACGCCUGAAUACAUUAGCAUGGAAUAAUGAAAUAGGACGUUCGAUCCUAUUUUGUUGGUUUCUAGGAUUGACGUAAUGAUUAAUAGGGAUAGUUGGGGGCAUUAGUAUUCAAAUGUCAGAGGUGAGAUUCUUGGAUUUAUUGAAGACUAACUACUGCGAAAGCAUUUGCCAAGGAUGUUUUCAUUAAUCAAGAACGAAAGUUAGGGGAUCGAAGACGAUCAGAUACCGUCGUAGUCUUAACCAUAAACUAUGCCGACUAGGGAUCGGAUGAUGUUAAUUUUUUAAUGACUCAUUCGGCGCCUUACGGGAAACCAAAGUGUUUGGGUUC
RNAcentral lists this ribosomal RNA (565 nucleotides) under uncultured Glomeromycotina. RNAcentral describes it as "SSU rRNA". It matches the Rfam family "Eukaryotic small subunit ribosomal RNA", at positions 548 to 1114 of the family's 1831-position model. The record is from RNAcentral. Lineage: Eukaryota; Fungi; Glomeromycota.